CAGCCGCCGCGGUAGUACGUAGGUCCCGAGCGUUGUCCGGAUUUAUUGGGCGUAAAGCGAGCGCAGGCGGUUAGAUAAGUCUGAAGUUAAAGGCUGUGGCUUAACCAUAGUACGCUUUGGAAACUGUUUAACUUGAGUGCAAGAGGGGAGAGUGGAAUUCCAUGUGUAGCGGUGAAAUGCGUAGAUAUAUGGAGGAACACCGGUGGCGAAAGCGGCUCUCUGGCUUGUAACUGACGCUGAGGCUCGAAAGCGUGGGGCGCAAACAGGAUUAGAUACCCCCGUAGUCCCUGUCUCUUAUACA
This 301-nucleotide ribosomal RNA is filed under the name uncultured bacterium. Its description in RNAcentral is "partial 16S ribosomal RNA". It matches the Rfam family "Bacterial small subunit ribosomal RNA", at positions 509 to 808 of the family's 1533-position model. The record is from RNAcentral.